AUUGAACGCUGGCGGCAGGCCUAACACAUGCAAGUCGAACGGUAACAGGAAGAAGCUUGCUUCUUUGCUGACGAGUGGCGGACGGGUGAGUAAUGUCUGGGAAACUGCCUGAUGGAGGGGGAUAACUACUGGAAACGGUAGCUAAUACCGCAUAACGUCGCAAGACCAAAGAGGGGGACCUUCGGGCCUCUUGCCAUCGGAUGUGCCCAGAUGGGAUUAGCUAGUAGGUGGGGUAACGGCUCACCUAGGCGACGAUCCCUAGCUGGUCUGAGAGGAUGACCAGCCACACUGGAACUGAGACACGGUCCAGACUCCUACGGGAGGCAGCAGUGGGGAAUAUUGCACAAUGGGCGCAAGCCUGAUGCAGCCAUGCCGCGUGUAUGAAGAAGGCCUUCGGGUUGAAAAGUACUUUCAGCGGGGAGGAAGGGAGUAAAGUUAAUACCUUUGCUCAUUGACGUUACCCGCAGAAGAAGCACCGGCUAACUCCGUG
RNAcentral lists this ribosomal RNA (490 nucleotides) under uncultured bacterium. RNAcentral describes it as "partial 16S ribosomal RNA". It matches the Rfam family "Bacterial small subunit ribosomal RNA", at positions 30 to 507 of the family's 1533-position model. The record is from RNAcentral.